AGAGAACCUGGGUAAGGUGCAGUUUGGGCAGCAGCAAAUAUCUGGCUUGAAUCAUGGCUGGAUGUUUACUGUAUUAUUUAGAAGGAAAGCUGGAGCUGUGAUGAUUCCUAAAUAGAAUAAGACAGGCUGACACAGACAUGAAGACUGGCAAGUCAGAAUAAGCUCCUGGUGACCUUGAAUCUACUUUCUGCUGCUGAGAAUUUACCUAUUUUGGAUGCUUCAUGAGACGAUUCCUCUUAGCAAAAGGGCACUGUGUACCCUCCAAGGCUGGAAAUGAUAGGUUUUCGGCGAGGAGUGAAAAUAUUGUGCUGACAGCCCUUUGCCUGUGUAGAGCAGGGUUGUUUACUCGCGCUGGAGCACAGCUUUAUUGAAGCAGAGAGUCAUGGUCCCAUCAUCAGGGUUGCCUAGCAACCAGUCUACGCCACUCCACAGAGUUUCAGAAUGGGCUGGACCACAAGUACCCACUUUGGGGGAUUUCCAGUGACAGUCCUACUCUCACUCCAUCACAUCGCUUCUAAAAUCUGAGUCACAUGGUUCAAAUUUCACAGUACAAAGUGUGUUCUUCAGAUCUGGGGUUCUCUCCAAAAUGGAUAAUCAUUAUUGAUUUUGUAAUGCAAUGCCAAGACCAUCAGUAAGGUUAUGUGAAGUUGGCAGUUCCCAAGGGCUUUAGGCUUGAAGCUGUGGGUCAUACCCCUUCGGAAACUUGGUCCCCAAGAGAAAUGUAUGCUUCUGAAAACCACAGGUGCAUGAAUCGUGUUUAGUAAAUGACUACUAAACUGAAAUCAGGACUUGUCUAUAUCUUGGCUUCUCAAACUUGAAUAUGCUUAUCAUCUGGAUAGCAAAAGCAUUCCUACACGUUGAGGCCUGCCAGCGUGGGUGUCACCCAGGAGCCACUCGGAAAGGCUCAUCGGAAACCACCCCGGACUGACUGAGGCAGAAUCUCUGGGGGCAGGACCCAGGCCUCAGCAUAAAAACUCCAGGUGACGGAAGAGCUCCCACCUAACAGGUGUGUUGGCAUUGUUGUAGGUGACUGACGUAGUUUCCCAUCUCACAACUCUACCUCCAUGAAGAAAAGUCAUGGAAAAUUGAGACUUUGGGCUGAGUGUGGCUCAUCCCUGUAAUCUUAGUGCUUUGGGAGGCUGAGGUAGGAGGAUCGCUUGAGGCCAGGAAUUUGAGGCCAGCCUGAGCAACAUAGUGUCUCUUCAAAAAACUAAGUUUAUUCUUUCCUCUUUUUUAGUUUUUAUUUUACACGGCUCACUGUGGCUUUGACCUCCCAUGCUGAAGCGAUCCUCCUAUCUCAACCUCUCAAGUAGCUGGAAGCACAGGCAUGCACCACCACACCUGGCUAAUUUUUUUCUUCCUUUUUUAAAGAGACAGUCUUGCCAUGUUGCCCAGGCCCUGUUGACCAGGAAAAAAAAAAGUUUUUUUUCUUUUUUAAAGAAAGAAAAUAAAAGAGACUGAGAAACCACAGAAAUAAAGAAGCGCUGAUGACAAUGCCUGCUUGCUGAUGGUUACGAUGAUCAUAGCAGUGUGCAUUUUGUAUGCAUGAAGCCUGCGACUAAAUAAACGUGUGGGGAAAUAUUUGUAAGGAAAUAAGCUAUUAAUAAAAUAAGCUAAAAUCACAGUUGCUGGACUAUGACUGAUUUUUCCCCUUUCUCUCAUUUAAAAUUAAAUAUUUGUAUGACUUGUAUAAUAGAAAAAUACAUGUAUUCAAUCUUAAAAAGAUAUUCUUAUUUUACACUUUACGGGACAAAAGAGGUUGUAGGUUGGAAUGGUUCAGUCCCCUUGUGACAACUCAAAAACAGAGACCUUAAGCCUUUCUCAACCAAUGUUGCGGGACAAGCAGGCGUGUGAGGCGACAAUGCCAUUAGGGUAUUUUUUGGAAAAAUUUUAGUGUGAGAGACAAAAGCCAAAUUCAAACUGGCCUGAGCCAAAAUAGGUAGGAAAGGGAGAAGCGGAGACAGGGAGGAAGAAAGAGAGAGAACAGAAAGAAAAAGGGAGAAAUGUCGAAAGGCAAAAUUACAACACAUUUAGUUAAAUGAUUGAAUUGGUUUUUAUUUGUAAUUCAUGAAUUGGGGCAGCAUCUCCUCUAAAACUUUAGGAAAAGUGCUCUGAUGAGCUAAACAGAGAAGCUUGGCUUUAUAGGCAGAAAAGGGUGAAGAAAGCAGACACAGGGAACAAAAAGCAGAUUGGUAAGCUCAGGUUACUUCAGGUUACUUUCCUUAUAAAGGUUAAAGUAGAGGGGACUUCCUUAUCAUGCUGGCUACAACUGGCCUGUUUGGGGAUUUGCAUAUUAUCUCUCUCUGUCUUGAGUUCUGGGAAGGUCUGAUGACUUAGUUUCAGUUUGGUGAUAUGGAACUUAGCAUGAGUGACUCCAUCUUGGUUUGGUCUACUGGGGCCUCCUGCAGGAGCUCAGCCCAAAUCAGUGACCUCCUAUAAAUUUCAUUUAAUAGAAAAGGAAGGAAGGAAGGAAGGAAGGAAGGAAGGAAGGAAGGAAGGAAGGAAGGGAGGGAGGGAGGGAGGGAGGGAGGGAGGAAGGGAGGAAAGAAGGAAGGAAAGAAAGAAAGUUGCUUAUAAGUUGCUUAUAACUAAAAAGACCAGCUGGACCCAGGAGCUCUGAGGUUGCUUUCAGGCCUCUGUCCAUCUCUUAGUUUUCCAUCCUCAGACAGGCUCUGCCCUGCCUUACAGUCUAGCAUUGUUGGCCAAAGGUGACUGACUGGCCCAGCUUGGGCUAUAUGUCCUUCCCUGUGGCCAGAGAGAUGUGUCUCUGUGAUGGCCAGGCUUGGGUCACGUACUCCCUCCCCUACCAGAAUCACAUGAAAAGAGGGAGGAAGAGCCGCUUUCCACCAAAGGAAACUGAAGUGCUAUUGUCAGAGGGGUUGCUGGGCAGACCAAAAAGAUGACAAUAUCUGCUCCAAUCGCUCGGGUUGUUGGUGCUUGGCAGAUUUGCCCCUACGUCACUUUUCAGAUGUGGAUAAGACUGAAGGUGACCACAGGCUUCCGAGAGGAAAGCUGCCAAUGGGGGUGUGAGAGGAGGGGGAAUUCUUACUCACCAAGGUUAACACUGUGCACACUGUUCUCCGAGGAAGUGGGAAUUUCCACAUGGUGAGUUCCCUUCCCUGUACAAUGAAUUACUAUCUUGAUGAGAAACCCGUGGGCAGCUGGUUGAGAAGAGAAAGGUAUUCUCUGAAUGAGAGGGAAUUUACCACCUUCCUUUCAAUGGUGACAGUUUUUUCUGGUGUCACCGCAGGGUGUGGAUUGAUUCAUAUACAAAUAUACAUAUCUACAUAGAUGCCAUUCUGCUAGCCUCUGCAAAAUGCAUGCCUGGAGACCAUUUCUGCUGCCUAGGAGAUGUCAACUUUGUCACCACCACUCUCUCUCCACCACUCCCACACCCUGCAGGGGCCAGGUGUGUGGGUGGGGAGCUCCCCAGCUGGAGGCCAGAUUAGAGGUCUCUGUGUGGUGGGGAUGGGGAGGAUGGGGUGGGAAUGAGGUGGUAGGCCACUGGCAGUGGUCCAAGUUCCAUCCAGGAUCUGUCCUAGGCCUCUCCCCAGGCUGUCGCUUCCACCAUUGAAUUUCUAACCUGGAUCUCUAAGGUUAUGAAUAUCUCAUUCCCGCAUCCUGGGGUGCUCAGACAUGUCUCCCCUGAGUCUCUAGCUGGGCUCGUGGCUGUGAUCAUUGUCCUCAGAGUUCCAUCCUCCCAACAAAGGGACAGAAGAAACACAGGGCCCACUUUUCUGGAUUCUGAGUUGGAGCCAAGAAAUUCUAUCUGCUGCUUCCUUCCUGUUGAAUUAUCCCCCAAGGACCCCUUAGUCCCUCCAGUCUCCUCCAGAGGCCUAUAGCUGCCCCAGCUCCCCAUGAUGGAUACCUGGCUCUUUCCUACCCAGAGGAAAACGCAGGCCCUUCCCCAGCCCUGCACUGAACUCCUGUGAGUGGCUGAGGAGAUGAGGAGGUGUGAAGAGUGAGUGUGUUGGGGAGGGAGGGGUCCCCUGCCACCAGGUACCAAGGACUUCUGCCAGAUCACCAGAACUGACACCUGGUUCCACCGGCCAGCUGUGAAGUGUCGGCCCUGACAUCAACAGCUGACCUCCCACAGGGCCUAAGGAAACGGAAUUGUGGGUAAAUGAAACAUUUUAUUUAUUUUAUUUUGUUUUAUUUUUAUAAAUUUUUGGGGAGACAGUUUUGCUAUGUUGCCAAGGCUGGGCUUGAUCUCCUGACCUUAAGUGAUCCUCCUACCUUGGCCUCCUGUGCUGAGAUUACAGGUGUGAAUCACCAUGCCUGGCCAAGAAGUGAAUUUGUAAAAGACAUGAGGAAAGGCCUGGUGGAAAGCUAACAGUGAAAAAAAUUUUCAAUACUUGCUAUAGAAACUAAAGAAACUCACAAUAUUUUGCUCUCUAUUGGAUCAUUUCCAUCAACAUACAAAUAAAUACCUGUUAUUUUUUCCAUCUUUAAAAAAAUGCCUUCAUUAUAAGUGAUUCAACAAAUUAAUAAACGAGAAGGGAAAAAUCUUCUCUAUAGAAGAAUUCCAAAUAGCAUAUGUAGAUACUCUCCCCUCCAGGAAGCCGAGCUUAAAUCCACUCUCUUUGAGAGUGGACUGGAUUUAGUGACUCACUUCCAAAGAGUAGAGUAUGGAAAGGGAAAAUAGUAACUUUAUAGGAAAGAAACCCAGCAGGUACCUUGUUAACCAAAUGAUGAAGGUUAACAUCACCGCUGAUAAGUCAUGUUGCUAUCAUUCACCCGCUGAUACGAUCUCAUGAGAAGGGCAAUUCCCGACUGUGGUAUUCUUCAAAUCUAUUGAGUUAUAAGAAAACAUGAGAUAAACCCAAACUGAGGAACAUUCUACAGAAUACAUGACCAGUAUUCUUCAAAGCCCUUAAGGUCAUGAUAAACAAGGGAAGACUAAGAAGUGAUCACAGAUUGGGAUGACUGAGACAUGAUGACAAAAUGCAGAGUGAUAUCUUGGAACAGAAAAAAGACAUUAGUGAGAAAAUUCAAAAAACUCUGAUUAGAGUUGAUAGUUGGGCUAUUAGUUUUAUACCAAUGUGAAUUUCUUAGUUUUGACAAAUAUACGUGAGGGAAAGCUAGGCGAAGGGUAUUCUGGAAAUCUCUACCCUGUACUGUCUUUUCAACUUUUCUAUGAAUCUAAAGCUCUUCCAAAGAUAAGUCUAUUAAAAAAAUAACAAAAACUUCCUCUAAAAUUUAAAGACGGACAAUAUCAGGUGUUGAUAAAUCUGUGGAGAAUUUGGAGCUCAUACAUUGCUGGUGAGAAUGUGAAAUUAUGUAGUUAUUUUGGAAAACAGUUCGGUAGUUCUUAUAAAAUGAAAGAUACAUCACUAAAUGACCCAACGAUUCUACUCCUUGAUAUCUACCCAGUAGGAAGGAAAUGAUGUCCGUACAAAGACUUGUAUACAAAUAUUCAUACCAUUUUUCAUCAUAAUGGCCCAAAACUAGAAACAACUCAAAUGUCCAUCAACAAGUAAUGGGUAAUCAAAUUGCGGUAUAUAUAUACAAUGAAAUAUAACUCAAUAUAAAGUAAGAAACUACUCAUAGAUACAGCAACAUGGAUAUUUCUCAAGUAUAUGCUGAGCAAAAAAAGCCAGACACAGGAGCACAUCCUAUAUGAUUCAAUUUAUACGACAUUUUAGAAAAGGCAAAACUAAUCUCAGAGACAGAAAGCAGGUCUGUGGUUGCCUGGAGCUGCGGAUUGGGGAGGGGAUGAUGGGAGAGAUUGACAAAAGGAGCACAAGGAACCUUUUGGGGUGAUGCUGGUAAUAUAUAUCUUGAUUGUUGUGGUGGUUACAUGGAUGCAUACAUUUGUCAAAAAUCAUUAAACUGUAUACUUCAAAUUUAUUAUAUGUAAAUUAUGCCUUAAUAAAGUUGAUUUUCUGAAAAGCUUUCUUUGAUCCGUUUACCCUGCCAGCUCCCCUUUUGCAAGACUCCUGAAAGAGCUGCUGAUACUCACUGUCUCCACUUCUACCCCAUAUGUUCUUUCUGAAGCCCACCCCAGCCAGGCUUCUAUUCCCAUCAUGCCAUGGAAACCAUUCUCAUCAAGGCGGCAGUGACCUCCGUGUUGCUAAAUCCAAUGAGCACUCACCACUUUCCAGUACAGUAUAUUAUUCAACCUGCUUGUUUAUUUUGUUUACUUUUCAUUGUCUAUCUACUCAAAGGCAGGAAACUGCUUUGUUCACGGCUGUAUCCCAAGUCCUAGAGUAGUGCCUGGCCCGUAGUAGCUGCCCAGUAGGUACUUGUUGAAUGAAGUAAUAAAGUUUCACCAGCAAGAGCAAACUUCCUACCUCUGGCCUAUCAGCCCAGGUCUGAGCAGACUGAUCCAGGAGACGACAGAGAAAAGGUGGAUCUGGAGGGAUCCUGCCCUGUCCCAGGAUUGGGAGAAUUGAGAGAGGCUCCGGAUUCUUCUUCAUUGUCUUUGGUUGUGCCUCGUGACCUCAGACAGACCUGGGCCUCUGGUUCGCUAGGCUGCAGCUGUGUGCUCAGAGCCACUGCCCACCGCUUAACGUCAUAGUUCUCAGGGGACCUUCCAGGAAUACUCAGAGGACAUAUGUCUGUGACUGCACUGUCCAGGGUACCAGCCACUGGCCAUGUGGCUACUGAGUACUUAUUUGGCCAGUCCCAAAUGAGAUGUGUUGAAACUGUAAAAUUUCAAAGACUUAGUACAAA
RNAcentral lists this long non-coding RNA (6675 nucleotides) under Homo sapiens (human). Its description in RNAcentral is "HSALNT0141029". The record is from RNAcentral. Lineage: Eukaryota; Metazoa; Chordata; Mammalia; Primates; Hominidae.